RNAcentral lists this ribosomal RNA (460 nucleotides) under uncultured bacterium. RNAcentral describes it as "partial 16S ribosomal RNA". It matches the Rfam family "Bacterial small subunit ribosomal RNA", at positions 338 to 795 of the family's 1533-position model. The record is from RNAcentral.
CCUACGGGAGGCAGCAGUGAGGAAUAUUGGUCAAUGGACGAGAGUCUGAACCAGCCAAGUAGCGUGAAGGAUGACUGCCCUAUGGGUUGUAAACUUCUUUUAUAUGGGAAUAAAAUGUUCCACGUGUGGGAUUUUGUAUGUACCAUAUGAAUAAGGAUCGGCUAACUCCAUGCCAGCCGCCGCGGUAAUACGGAGGAUCCGAUCGUUAUCCGGAUUUAUUGGGUGUAAAGGGAGCGUAGGUGGAUUGUUAAGUCAGUUGUGAAAGUUUGCGGCUCAACCGUAAAAUUGCAGUUGAAACUGGCAGUCUUGAGUACAGUAGAGGUGGGCGGAAUUCGUGGUGUAGCGGUGAAAUGCUUAGAUAUCACGAAGAACUCCGAUUGCGAAGGCAGCUCACUGGACUGCAACUGACACUGAGGCUCGAAAGUGUGGGUAUCAAACAGGAUUAGAUACCCUUGUAGUC